This 305-nucleotide ribosomal RNA is filed under the name uncultured bacterium. Its description in RNAcentral is "bacterial SSU rRNA". It matches the Rfam family "Bacterial small subunit ribosomal RNA", at positions 337 to 659 of the family's 1533-position model. The record is from RNAcentral.
UCCUACGGGAGGCAGCAGUGGGGAAUAUUGGACAAUGGGGGGAACCCUGAUCCAGCGACGCCGCGUGAGUGAAGAAGUAUUUCGGUAUGUAAAGCUCUAUCAGCAGGGAAGAAAAUGACGGUACCUGACUAAGAAGCCCCGGCUAACUACGUGCCAGCAGCCGCGGUAAUACGUAGGGGGCAAGCGUUAUCCGAAUUUACUGGGUGUAAAGGGAGCGCAGACGGCUGUGCAAGUCUGGAGUGAAAGGCGGGGGCCCAACCCCCGGACUGCUCUGGAAACUGUAAAGCUGGAGUGCAGGAGAGGUA